This 1103-nucleotide long non-coding RNA is filed under the name Lonchura striata (white-rumped munia). Its description in RNAcentral is "domestica (Bengalese finch) lncRNA (ENSLSDG00000018226.1)". The record is from RNAcentral. Lineage: Eukaryota; Metazoa; Chordata; Aves; Passeriformes; Estrildidae.
CCUCAAUCCCUCCCCGUCCUGCCAGUUCUCCCAGUCCCCCGCGUCAUCUCCCCAGUCCUUCCUAGUCCCUUACAAUCCCCUUGUCACUUCUCCCAGUGUGACCACUGUGGACAGGUGUGUGUCGGCAUGUCCAGGUGUGUGUGAGCAUAUCCAGGUGUGCACAGGUGUGUGUCAGUGUCUGUGUCUGAGUGUGCCUGGGCAUCUCUGGGUGUGCAAAGCCUGUGCCAGCACCGCCUGCCCAACUGCAUUUCUGGGGUUCUGCAGGUGUCCCUCACCUACACACGGGAUCAUUGUGCGUGUCACCGUGUGUGUCACACACCUGCACACGGGAUCAUUGUGCAUGUCACUGCAUGUGUCACACACCUGCACAUGGGAUCAUUGUACGUGUCACCGCGUGUGUCACACACCUGCACACAGGAUCAUUGUAUGUGUCACCGCGUGUGUCACACACCUGCACAUGGGAUCACUGUGCAUGUCACCAUGUGUGUCACACACCUGCCACACACACCUGCACACAGGAUCAUUGCAGAGGUCACAAACCUGCACACAGGAUGGUCACAUGUAACUGCAUGUGUUAUACACCUGCACACGGGAUCACUACGCAUGUCACACACCUUUACAUGGGAUAGUCAUGUGUCAUGCAUCUUUAUACAGGAUGGUCACGUGUCACUGUGCAUGUCCCACACAUUUACAUGGGAUGAUCACGUGUCACACACCUUUACACAGGAUAAUCACAUGUCACUGCAUGUGUCACACACUUUUACUCAGCCUCCAAAGUGCACACACAUGUCUGGGCAUGGGAGACAUGUGUGGGGUGUGUCCCUGCAUGUCACAUGCACGCAUGCGUCCCCAUGCCCGGACACGUGUGUAACCCCCUCCACCUCCACCUCUCCCCCCCGUGCCGGGAAAGGGGAGGGGAGGGGCUGGAGUGGGGGAGGAGCGGGAAUGGGCUCAUGGAAAAAGUUUUGGGUGGAAAUUUUUCUCCUCACCCCUCCCCCACUAUGGGGAGGCUCAAUGGCCCCUUUGUGUGGCCCCGGCCCUGUCCCUGCCACGCUCGGACCCCCCCACCCCGUGUGUCUCGCCCAAUCCCUGUGUCCCCCCCG